Molecule: ribosomal RNA, 483 nt
Filed under: uncultured bacterium
Lineage: Bacteria
Description: partial 16S ribosomal RNA
Rfam family: Bacterial small subunit ribosomal RNA
Source: RNAcentral
GAUGAACGCUGGCGGCGUGCCUAACACAUGCAAGUCGAACGAAGCUUGACGGAUGAUUUCUUCGGAAUGAAACCAGAUAUGACUUAGUGGCGGACGGGUGAGUAACACGUGAGCAACCUGCCUUUCAGAGGGGGAUAACGGCUGGAAACGGUCGCUAAUACCGCAUGAUGUGUUCGGAUGGCAUCAUCUGAACAUCAAAGAUUUAUCGCUGAAAGAUGGGCUCGCGUCUGAUUAGAUAGUUGGUGGGGUAACGGCCUACCAAGUCUACGAUCAGUAGCCGGACUGAGGGGGUGAACGGCCACAUGGGGACUGAGAUACGGCCCAGACUCCUACGGGAGGCAGCAGUGGAGAAUAUUGCACAAUGGGGGAAACUCUGAUGCAGCAACGCCGCGUGAAGGAUGACGGUUUUCGGAUUGUAAACUUCUUUUCUUAGUGACGAAGACAGUGACGGUAGCUAAGGAAUAAGCAUCGGCUAACUACGUG